Molecule: small RNA, 190 nt
Filed under: Kocuria marina
Lineage: Bacteria; Bacillati; Actinomycetota; Actinomycetes; Micrococcales; Micrococcaceae
Description: c-di-AMP sequence
Rfam family: c-di-AMP riboswitch aptamer (ydaO/yuaA leader)
About the family: This family represents a conserved RNA structure found upstream of the ydaO and yuaA genes in Bacillus subtilis and related genes in other bacteria. The ydaO/yuaA element is thought to act as a genetic "off" switch for the ydaO and yuaA genes in its native state.
Source: RNAcentral
CCGGGUACAUCGCCGAAUUCUGCCGGUGCCCGGGGUCCGCUGAAAAGACAUCGCUUGGCAGAAGCGGGGGAACCAUACACGGUCCCGCCCUUGGGGCCUGGGGGUUAAGCCGGCCGGACGCGCGCGUCCGCCCGGCCGGGUGUCUCCCACCCGCAUCCGACAGCUCACCUCGCAGGCAAAGGGAGGAAUC